Cinara cedri is the source of this 140-nucleotide non-coding RNA. NCBI's taxonomy places the organism in Eukaryota, Metazoa, Arthropoda, Insecta, Hemiptera, Aphididae. The record is from the annotation of a GenBank genome assembly.
GUAUAAAAAUGAGAGUUCUAACUCAUGAGCAUGAGCAUGAGCCAUGUGCCACCACCCAAAGCCGGUUCUAAACCGUGAGCAUGAGCAUGCUCAUGCUCAUGCUCAUGCUCAUGAGUUAGAACUCUCAUUAUCAUACUACU